Neofelis nebulosa (Clouded leopard) is the source of this 1232-nucleotide long non-coding RNA. RefSeq lists it as uncharacterized. The record is from RefSeq and is a predicted model, not a curated record. The transcript has 5 exons. NCBI's taxonomy places the organism in Eukaryota, Metazoa, Chordata, Mammalia, Carnivora, Felidae.
UUGAGUGUAUUUUUAAUCUGGAACGGUUCUGUCUUUAUCUUCAUGAGCUUCCCGUUUCUGAAGCAUACAGGCACAACUGUCUUAUAAGGUGUCCCUCAAUUUGUGUUUAUCUUAUGAUUCCAGUUUUGCUUUUUUUUUUUUUUUUUUGGCAGGAAGAUCAGAGAAGCAACACUGUAUCCUCCCCAGUGCAUCAUAUGAGGGGACACAUGAUGUAGUUUAAGUGUCUAGGAAACCUCCCCCUCCAACCCCGAGAAGAACAUGCCCAGCUAACCUACUAUUCCAAGAAGGAUAAGAGACACAUGAGGCAGAACCAUCCCAGCCGAUCUGAUGGGUGUGGUGGAGAGUAUGGAAUCAUCACAGAGGGAAGGACAGACCACUGGAGAAAGGGUCGGCAGACCUCCCCCCUCCUCCCUGACAUCGUGGUCCAGGCAAACCCCCAACAUUCCCUGGUUCCCUGGCUCUGUGACAUCACAGCCUCCUCUCUUCUCUGCCAGUUACAGGUGAGUGAGCCUCAAAGGUCAGACCUCAGAGCAGGACGGCGUAUUUUUUCUGUACUUAAAGGGACAAUGUCUCCAUCACUCCUGGACACCUUUGCUAUAAGAAGCAGACAUUACCCCUAAUUUGCCUCGACUCCACUGUUUCUGUCUCUGGGCCCCAGUCUCCCCACCUGUGCCGACUGACCCCUAAGGGCUCCUCCAGCUCCAGAAGCCUUCCUGUUUGACCUCGCUGGGUCUUUCUUGUUCUGGUCCAAGUGCUGUGGGUCACUGGAGACCUGAGGCUCACAGCCCACUGGGCAUAACCCAAGAGGCUUUUUCUUUGGCUCCUGCCUCCAUCUAGAGCCAUCUGUCAGCUUGACGGUGUCUCAUCAGCAGUGAGACACCAACAGUGUCUCACCAGCCUUCAUGUCCCUGGAAUAGUGGCUCAUCUCACCCCUGGGGUGGUGACAGCAUCUGCUCAUACGAGGACCAAAGUUCAACCAAAGUACAGGGCACCAGGACUCCAAGCAGAGGUGUGACGUGAUGUGACUUACAUCCUAAGAGGAUUCUGCUGUGCUGACACUAAUGAAGACAAGGGUGGAAGAAGCAGGGAGACCAGUUAGGAGGCCAUCGCAGUGAUCCAGAUCUGAACACGGAUCCUCGCACAAAUGGUUUGAAAAAGAGACACCCACACCACUUCUCCAAUAUUUGGGCGCUAAAAACUUGCACUAUUGGGAGACCCUGAGCAUUCUAGUC